RNAcentral lists this ribosomal RNA (428 nucleotides) under uncultured bacterium. RNAcentral describes it as "bacterial SSU rRNA". It matches the Rfam family "Bacterial small subunit ribosomal RNA", at positions 354 to 796 of the family's 1533-position model. The record is from RNAcentral.
GUGGGGAAUCUUCCGCAAUGGGCGCAAGCCUGACGGAGCAACGCCGCGUGAGUGAGGAAGGCCUUCGGGUUGUAAAACUCUGUCAUCAGGGAAGAAACAAAUGACGGUACCUGAGGAGGAAGCCACGGCUAACUACGUGCCAGCAGCCGCGGUAAUACGUAGGUGGCGAGCGUUGUCCGGAAUUACUGGGCGUAAAGAGCGCGUAGGCGGGGAUUUAAGUCAGGAGUGAAAACUGGCGGCUCAACUGCCAGCCUGCUCUUGAAACUGGAUUUCUUGAGGGUAUGAGAGGGAAGCGGAAUUCCCAGUGUAGCGGUGAAAUGCGUAGAUAUUGGGAGGAACACCAGUGGCGAAGGCGGCUUUCUGGCAUACAACUGACGCUGAGGCGCGAAAGCGUGGGGAGCGAACGGGAUUAGAUACCCCAGUAGUCC